GAUGCAUCACUUCCGCAGGUGGCAUAUGCCUCAGGAGAAAUGGGGCGGCACAGAUGGCGACAUUGUCAAAAUCUUGUGGACCAGUUUUGGUAUCAAUUUACAAGGAACUACUUACCUGUACUUCAGACACGCCAGAAAUGGCACAAACCAUCUGACAAUUUGGCAGUAGGCUCAGUGGUCUUGAUAAUUGAUCCACAACUUCCCAGAGCUCAGUGGCCUAUUGGUAAAGUGGUUAAGACUGUGGUCAGUAAGGAUGGAUGUGUGAGAACAGCAGAUGUCCUUGUCAAGGGCAAAGUGUACACAAGGCCAGUUGCCCGCCUGAUUCUGUUGCCAGCCUUUGAGGAUGAUACUAAAGACUCUUAAAGAAUUAAUUUACUUGCACAUUUACUGCUCAAAUGUGGGGGCGGCUGUUUUGAAUUCUUUAUGGUUUAUCUCUUAUUGUCCGUAAUUUAUUCUGCUAAUGUGUUAAGUUAUGGAAAAUGCGCUAUACGUAGUUUGAAGCAGAUACGAUUCUAACGUAAGUGAGGUAUUCUCUGCUACACAAACGCAGCAGCCGGAGUUUUUGUAGCUUGAGUUUCAUAGCGUUUGCAGACUUUCCACUCGUGUGCAACAUCCUUGAGUGCAAGUUAAAGUUACUGACAAAAAACUACCUCAGUUGUAUACUGUCAUGUGUACAAGGUUGAAACUUGCACAAAAUAAAAGUGGAAACGAAA
This is a long non-coding RNA of Carassius carassius (crucian carp), 713 nucleotides long. RefSeq lists it as uncharacterized. The record is from RefSeq and is a predicted model, not a curated record. The transcript is spliced from 2 exons. NCBI's taxonomy places the organism in Eukaryota, Metazoa, Chordata, Actinopteri, Cypriniformes, Cyprinidae.